This 479-nucleotide ribosomal RNA is filed under the name uncultured bacterium. RNAcentral's name for it is "partial 16S ribosomal RNA". It matches the Rfam family "Bacterial small subunit ribosomal RNA", at positions 28 to 507 of the family's 1533-position model. The record is from RNAcentral.
GAUGAACGCUAGCGGGAGGCCUAACACAUGCAAGCCGAGCGGUAUUGUUUCUUCGGAAAUGAGAGAGCGGCGUACGGGUGCGUAACACGUGUGCAACCUGCCUUUAUCUGGGGGAUAGCCUUUCGAAAGGAAGAUUAAUACUCCAUAAUAUAUUGAACGGCAUCGUUUAAUAUUGAAAGCUCCGGCGGAUAGAGAUGGGCACGCGCAAGAUUAGCUAGUUGGUGAGGUAACGGCUCACCAAGGCGAUGAUCUUUAGGGGGCCUGAGAGGGUGAUCCCCCACACUGGUACUGGGACACGGACCAGACUCCUACGGGAGGCAGCAGUGAGGAAUAUUGGUCAAUGGGUGCAAGCCUGAACCAGCCAUCCCGCGUGAAGGACGACUGCCCUAUGGGUUGUAAACUUCUUUUGUAUAGGGAUAAACCUACCCUCGAGAGGGUAGCUGAAGGUGCUAUACGAAUAAGCACCGGCUAACUCCGUG